GUUGAAGCUGCAGUAAGUGAUAAUCGGAUAUCUUUUCACCUUCUUAUAUUUUGGCAACAUGACUCUGUUCAGUGAAGUUUUUAAUAUUUUUGUUGUUUUGUUUGCAUGUAAAUUCUUCCCAUGAAUUAUGUAUCAAAGUAGCUAAUCAUGAUGCUAAAAGGACAAAGUGGGCUGAUUUAUUGUUCUCAACUUACUGGUUUCUAAUGAGACAAGUUAACAUGUUCGCUUAGGACACAACUGACUAUGUAUAAAUAUUCAUUGUAAUUCUGUGAUAUCUGUUUACUGAGUGGGAAGCCAUUUGCUUUAUAAUUCGGCCAAAAGAAUUUAAUACCUUCCAUUGCGGUCCUUUCAGUCAAA
This 357-nucleotide unclassified non-coding RNA is filed under the name Hevea brasiliensis (rubber tree). Lineage: Eukaryota; Viridiplantae; Streptophyta; Magnoliopsida; Malpighiales; Euphorbiaceae. The record is from RNAcentral.